This 253-nucleotide ribosomal RNA is filed under the name uncultured bacterium. RNAcentral's name for it is "partial 16S ribosomal RNA". It matches the Rfam family "Bacterial small subunit ribosomal RNA", at positions 524 to 776 of the family's 1533-position model. The record is from RNAcentral.
UACGGAGGGUGCGAGCGUUGUCCGGAAUCACUGGGCGUAAAGGGCGCGUAGGCGGCUUGGGAAGUCUGUGGUGAAAGCUCGUGGCUCAACUGCGAGUCGGCCAUAGAUACUCCUAAGCUCGAGUCGACUAGAGGCAGAUGGAAUUCCGGGUGUAGCGGUGGAAUGCGUAGAGAUCCGGAAGAACACCGGUGGCGAAGGCGGUCUGCUGGGGUCGAACUGACGCUGAGGUGCGAAAGCGUGGGGAGCAAACAGG